This 4273-nucleotide long non-coding RNA is filed under the name Homo sapiens (human). RNAcentral describes it as "non-protein coding lnc-SLC22A9-1:1". Lineage: Eukaryota; Metazoa; Chordata; Mammalia; Primates; Hominidae. The record is from RNAcentral.
UAGCACUAAAUGCCCACACCAGAAAGCUGGAAAGAUCUCAAAUAGACACUCUAACAUCACAAUGAAAAGAACUAGAGAAACAAGAGCAAACAAAGUCAAAAGCUAGGAGGAGACAAGAAAUAACUAAGAUCAGAGCAGAACCGAAGGAGAUAGAGACAUGAAAAACCCUUCAAAAAUCAAUAAAUCCCAGAGCUGGUUCUUUGAAAAAAUUAACAAAAUAGAUACAACACUAGGUAGACUAAUAAAGUAGAACAGAGAAGAUGUAAAUAAACACAAUAAAAAUGAUGAAGGGGCUAUCACCACUGACCCCAUUGAAAUACAAACAACCAUCAGAGAAUACUAUAAACACCUCUAUGAAAAUAAACUAGAAAUUCAGAAGAAAUGGGCAAAUUCCUGGACACAUGCACCCUCCCAAGACUAAACCAGGAAGAAAUUGAAUCCCUGAAUUGACCAAUAAUGAGUUCUGAUAUUGAGGCAGUAAUAAAUAGUCUAGCAACAAUAACAACAACAAAAAAGCCAAGGACCAGACAGAUUUACAGCCAAAUUCUACCAGAGGUACAAAGAGGAGCUGGUACCAUUCUUUCUGAAACUAUUGUAAACAAUAGAAAAAGAGGGGAUCCUCCCUAACUCAUUUUAUGAGGCCAGCAUCAUCCUGAUACCAGACCUUGGCAAGACACAACAAAAAAAGAAAAUUUCAGGCCAAUAUCCAUGAUGAACCUUAAUGUGGAAAUCCUCAACAAAACACUGGCAAACCAAAUCCAGCAGAACAUCAAAAAGCUUAUUCACCAUGAUCAAACUGGCUUUGUCCCUGGGAUACAAGACUGGUUUAACAUACACAAAUCAAUAAAUGUAAUCCAUCACAUAAACAGAACCAAUGGCAAAAACCACAUGAUUAUCUCAAUAGAGGCAGAAAAGAGCAUCAAUAAAAUUCAACAUCCCUUCUUGUUAAAAUCAUUCAAUAUACUAGGUAUUUAUGGAACACCUCUCAAAAUAAUAACAGAUAUGUAUGACAAACCCACAGCCAAUAUCAUACUGAAUGGGCAAAAGUUGGAAGCAUUCCCUUUGAAAACCAGCACAAGACAAGGAGGCCCUUUUUCACCACUCCUAUUCAAUGUAGUAUAGGAAGUUCUGGUCAAGACAAUUGGGCAAGAGAAAGAAAUAAAGAGUAUUCAAAUAGGAAGAGAGGAAGUCAAAUUGUCUCUCUUUGCAGAUGACAUAAUCCUACAUUUAGAAAACCCCAUUGUCUCACCCCAAAAACAACUUAAACUAAUAAGGAAUGUUAGCAAAGUCUCAGGAUACAAAAUCAAUGUGCAAAAAUCACAAGCAUUUCUAUACACAAAAAAUAGACAAGCAGAGAGCCAAAUCGUAAAUGAACUCCCAUUCACAAUUGCUACAAAGAGAAUAAAAUACUUAGGAAUGCAGCUAACAAGGGACGUGAAGGACAUUUUCAAGGAGAACUACAAACCACUUCUCAAGGAAAUAAGAGGGGACACAAACAAAUGGGAAAGUAUUCCAGCCUCAUGGAUAGAAAGAAUCGAUAUUGCGAAAAUGGCCGUACUUCCCAAAAUAAUUUAUAGAAUAAAUACUGCUCCAAACUACUAUUGACAUUCUUCACAGCAGUAGAAAAAACUACUUUAAAAAUUACAUGGAACCAGAAAAAGCCCAUAUAAGCAAGACAAUUCUAAGCAAAAAGAACAAAACUAGAGGCAUCACGCUAUUUGACUUCAAACUAUACUACAAUAGAAAAAUGCAAAUGAAAACCACAAUUAGAUAUCAUCUCAUGCCAGACAGAAUGAUGAUUAUUAAAAAGGCAAGAAACAACAGAUGCUGGUGAGGCUGUGGAGAACUAAGAAUGCUUUUACACUCUUGGUGAGAAUGUAAAUUAGUUCACCCAUUGUGGAAGACAGUUUGGUGAUUUAUCAAGGAUCUAGAACCAGAAAUGCCAUUUGACCCAGCAAUGUCAUUACUUGGUAUAUGCCCAAAGGAAUAUAAAUCACUCUACAAUAAAGACACAUGCACCCAUUUGUUUAUUGUGGCACUAUUCACAAUAGCAAAGACAUGUAACCAACCCAAAUGCCCAUCAAUGAUAGACUGGAUAAAGAAAAUGUGUACAUAUACUGCAUAGAAUACUAUGCAGCCAUAAAAAGGAAUGAGUUCAUGUCCUUUGCAGGGACAUGGAUGAAGCUGAAAGCCAUUAUCCUCAGCAAACUAACACUGGAACAGAGAACCAAAUACUGUAUAUUCUCACUCAUAAGUGGGAGUUGAACAAUGAGAACACAUGGACACAAGGAGGGGAACAAUGCGAACCAGGGCCUGUCAGAGAGGGUCAAGGGGAGGCCGAACAUCAGGACAAAUAGUUAAUGCAUGCAGGGAUUAAAACCUAGAUAUCAGGUUGAUAGGUGCAGCAAAUCACCAUGGCACAUGUGUACCUAUGUAACAAACAUGCGUGCUCGGCACAUGUAUCCCAGAACUUAAAGAAAAUAAAUAAACAAAUAAAUAAAAUUUGUGCCCUUAAUCACCAUGAUAUCCUGGCUCUUGGGGCCACAACCCCACCUCUUCCACAUCUUCAUCUAGCAGCUCAUUUGGAUCCAUUUUUCUAACUAAAUCCUGUAAUUUCUUCCUGGUUGAAGUCUAAAGCAGGAGCAGAUUUUUCAGCCAAGUGUUAAGGAAACAAAAUAACUCAUUAUCUCAUAAUGAAGAAAGACUGUCAAAGUGUUAUGUUUUGUUUGUACUUCCUCAAGAGUUCCGUCUACCCUGGCUGAUAGUAUUGCCACAAGAUGACACUGUCAAGACAGAAGUGCCUGAGGAAAGGUAGAGACAACAAUUUAGGAAAAGAGGCCAGCCUGAAACCAUCUGAUAGUUUAUAUCUCAGCUUCAUGGCUUUUCUCUUAUUGUACCUCACCUUCCCCCUGCCACCAACCCACAUUCUGGCUGCAUUAAACAAUUUUCAGUUCUCUGACCACCACAAAUUUUGGUGCCUCUGGGGCCUUUGGAUGAGCUUGUUCUCCCUUCUUCCCACAUGCUUAGCUCAUGGCAUCUCCUUGAUGAUGCAUUUUCUGGCCCACCCAGGUAAAAAUGACCACUCCUCCUUUGGCAUCUACUCUAUCCUGUACAUUCUUCUAUCAACAGACUAUAACACUUUAUUGCACAUAUUUAUAAACUUGCAUGUUUCUGACUUAGCAAGCUACAGACUCCCUAACAGUAGAGAACAUUUGUUCAUCUCUCUGUCACUAAAUGUUUGUGUGUGUACAACUAUGAUCCUUCAUUCCUAAAGGAAAUGUCAUGCCACAUAUAUAUACCAUUAAAAAUGAUCAAACAAUGUGCUAACCAUGGUUUUCUUUGGGUGGCAGAAUUAUAUGAUAUUCAUUCUUUCUGUAUUUCUAGAGUUUCUGUGAUAAACACAUAUAACUUCGCAAACAAGAAGACCAAAAAAAAAACUGACAUUAAAGCAAAAGAUGAAUAAGCUUUACAAUAAAAAUUUAAAAAUAAAAGAACAGAUCAAUGCACCAUGAAAACCUUGCUAAACUGAUACAGGGGCCCAGAUGCUGGCCUUGCAUAAGUGUGCUUUUGAUGUUCCUGUUUAAUUUAUAGAAAAACUCUGAAGUAAUUUUAUCACUCAGUAUUGACCCUUAUAAUCUCACAUGCCCACAUCUUCCAUGAUAGUGCCUGGGCCUAGAGGGAUUGAGUAGUUUUAAUUUCUGGCCCUGUGUCUCUUGAGAACCAUUCAUUUUUUUUUCUUAUGUUGCCAACUAUUAUUUUAUUAUAAAUUAGAUAUUCUAAUAAUGGACACUAUUAACAUAUAAAUAAAAAUGUGACUUUAUAAAGUACCAAUAGAAAUACCAAUACAUAUGAGCUUGUCAAGGGGUCUUACUGAAUUAAGAAACUUUCUGCUCAAUAUAUAUUCUAUCAUAAAAAUAAGGAGACAUCCUUUGAGAAUGCACUGUUCAUUUUUUUAUACUUUAACCACAUUUAUUUAUUUAUUUAAUUUCUUUUUAUUAUACUUUAAGUUUUAGGGUACAUGUGCACAACGUGCAGGUUUCUUACAUAUGUAUACAUAUGCCAUGUUGGUGUGCUGCACCCAUUAACUUGUCAUUUACAUUAGGCAUAUCUCCUAAUGCUAUCCUUCCCCUUCCCCACACCCCACAACAGGCCCCGGUGUGUGAUGUUCCCCUCCUGUGUCCAUGUGUUCUCAUUGUUCAGUUCCCACCUAUAAGUGAGAACAUGCAGUGUUUGGUUUUUUGUCCUUGCGAUAGUUUGCUGAGAAUGAUGGUUU